AGCAGCCGCGGUAAUUCCAGCUCCAAUAGCGUAUAUUAAAGUUGUUGCAGUUAAAAAGCUCGUAGUUGAAUUUCGGGAUUGGCGCAUCGGUCGUGCCUCACGGGGUAUGAACUGGUGCAGUCAAUUUCUCACCUUCUGGAGAACCGCGAUGUCCUUAAUUGGAUGCCGCGGGGAACCAGGACCUUUACUUUGAAAAAAUUAGAGUGUUUAAAGCAGGCAUUUUUGCUUGAAUACAUUAGCAUGGAAUAAUAAAAUAGGACGGCAUGGUUCUAUUUUGUUGGUUUCUAGGACCACCGUAAUGAUUAAUAGGGAUAGUUGGGGGCAUUAGUAUUCAAUUGUCAGAGGUGAAAUUCUUGGAUUUAUUGAAGACUAACUACUGCGAAAGCAUUUGCCAAGGAUGUUUUCAUUAAUCAAGAACGAAAGUUAGGGGAUCGAAGACGAUCAGAUACCGUCGUAGUCUUAACCAUAAACUAUGCCGACUAGGAAUCAGACGAUGUUAAUUUUUUAAUGAUUCGUUUGG
RNAcentral lists this ribosomal RNA (520 nucleotides) under uncultured Glomus. RNAcentral's name for it is "SSU rRNA". It matches the Rfam family "Eukaryotic small subunit ribosomal RNA", at positions 569 to 1083 of the family's 1831-position model. Lineage: Eukaryota; Fungi; Glomeromycota; Glomeromycetes; Glomerales; Glomeraceae. The record is from RNAcentral.